CCUACGGGUGGCAGCAGUCGAGAAUCAUUCACAAUGGGGGAAACCCUGAUGGUGCGACGCCGCGUGGGGGAAUGAAGGUCUUCGGAUUGUAAACCCCUGUCAUGUGGGAGCAAAUUAAAAAGAUAGUACCACAAGAGGAAGAGACGGCUAACUCUGUGCCAGCAGCCGCGGUAAUACAGAGGUCUCAAGCGUUGUUCGGAAUCACUGGGCGUAAAGCGUGCGUAGGCUGUUUCGUAAGUCGUGUGUGAAAGGCGCGGGCUGAACCCGCGGACGGCACAUGUUACUGCGAGACUAGAGUAAUGAGGGGGGAACCGGAAUGCUGGGUGUAGCAGUGAAAGGGGU
This 342-nucleotide ribosomal RNA is filed under the name uncultured bacterium. RNAcentral's name for it is "partial 16S ribosomal RNA". It matches the Rfam family "Bacterial small subunit ribosomal RNA", at positions 338 to 691 of the family's 1533-position model. The record is from RNAcentral.